Molecule: ribosomal RNA, 472 nt
Filed under: uncultured bacterium
Lineage: Bacteria
Description: bacterial SSU rRNA
Rfam family: Bacterial small subunit ribosomal RNA
Source: RNAcentral
ACUCCUACGGGAGGCAGCAGUGGGGAAUAUUGCACAAUGGGCGCAAGCCUGAUGCAGCCAUGCCGCGUGUAUGAAGAAGGCCUUCGGGUUGUAAAGUACUUUCAGCAGUGAGGAAGGUGGGUAUGUUAAUAGCAUACUCAUUUGACGUUAGCUGCAGAAGAAGCACCGGCUAACUCCGUGCCAGCAGCCGCGGUAAUACGGAGGGUGCGAGCGUUAAUCGGAAUUACUGGGCGUAAAGCGCAUGCAGGUGGUUUGUUAAGUCAGAUGUGAAAGCCCGGGGCUCAACCUCGGAAUUGCAUUUGAAACUGGCAAACUAGAGUACUGUAGAGGGGGGUAGAAUUUCAGGUGUAGCGGUGAAAUGCGUAGAGAUCUGAAGGAAUACCGGUGCGAAGGCGGCCCCCUGGACAGAUACUGACACUCAGAUGCGAAAGCGUGGGGAGCAAACAGGAUUAGAUACCCUGGUAGCCACUGC